GUGGGGAAUAUUGGACAAUGGGCGCAAGCCUGAUCCAGCCAUGCCGCGUGGGUGAAGAAGGCCUUCGGGUUGUAAAGCCCUUUUGUCCGGGAAGAAAUCGUACGGGUGAAUACCCCGUGCGGAUGACGGUACCGGAAGAAUAAGCACCGGCUAACUUCGUGCCAGCAGCCGCGGUAAUACGAAGGGUGCAAGCGUUACUCGGAAUUACUGGGCGUAAAGCGUGCGUAGGCGGUUUGUUAAGUCUGUCGUGAAAGCCCUGGGCUCAACCUGGGAAUUGCGAUGGAUACUGGCAAGCUAGAGUACGGUAGAGGAUGGUGGAAUUCCCGGUGUAGCGGUGAAAUGCGUAGAGAUCGGGAGGAACACCCGUGGCGAAGGCGGCCAUCUGGACCAGUACUGACGCUGAGGCACGAAAGCGUGGGGAGCAAACAGGAUUAGAAACCCGAGUAGUCC
RNAcentral lists this ribosomal RNA (450 nucleotides) under uncultured bacterium. RNAcentral describes it as "bacterial SSU rRNA". It matches the Rfam family "Bacterial small subunit ribosomal RNA", at positions 354 to 796 of the family's 1533-position model. The record is from RNAcentral.